GGGGAUGAUCGGUUUCGACGACGGUCGUCGAUCGAAGGGAAGCGGGCCGAGGAUGUUCGCUCAACUCGUUAACGAUGCGUUCGAACCAAUAGGUGCCGAACAGAAUCGCACCGACUACGUUCUCGCCGCCUGAUAUCGCCGCGUGAACCCUUAGUCCGUCAGCCCAGGUGGUGCUCCCAGCCUGGUGUCUGGCGUCGUUCUGGGAGCCACUGGUCGCGUGCCGUGUCGAUGAGCACGCUUCAACACUUAGUCGACUGAGCCUACUGGCAGCAGGUCUGCAUGACGUCAGGGGCUGAGAAAUAAAACAGCAGACUGCGCCCGGAGAAGACUUCGGGGCCGGCCGUCGGACCGGGGUUCGAUUCCCCGCAUCUCCACUG
Molecule: transfer-messenger RNA, 377 nt
Filed under: Actinomycetaceae
Lineage: Bacteria; Bacillati; Actinomycetota; Actinomycetes; Actinomycetales
Also listed under: 1 other name
Description: Pauljensenia canis Standard tmRNA
Rfam family: transfer-messenger RNA
About the family: Bacterial tmRNA, also known as 10Sa RNA or SsrA, is named for its dual tRNA and mRNA-like properties. Its role is to liberate the mRNA from a stalled ribosome.
Source: RNAcentral